RNAcentral lists this ribosomal RNA (253 nucleotides) under uncultured bacterium. RNAcentral's name for it is "partial 16S ribosomal RNA". It matches the Rfam family "Bacterial small subunit ribosomal RNA", at positions 524 to 776 of the family's 1533-position model. The record is from RNAcentral.
GACGAAGGAUGCAAGCGUUAUCCGGAUUCAUUGGGUUUAAAGGGUUCGUAGGCGGUGCGGCAAGUCGGGAGUGAAAUCUCUGGGCUCAACCCAGAGGCUGCUUCCGAAACUGCUGUGCUUGAGUGUGGGAGAGGCGCGUGGAAUUGCAGGUGUAGCGGUGAAAUGCGUAGAUAUCUGCAGGAACACCCGUGGCGAAAGCGGCGCGCUGGACCACUACUGACGCUGAAGAACGAAAGCUAGGGGAGCAAACAGG